Oncorhynchus keta (chum salmon) is the source of this 507-nucleotide long non-coding RNA. RefSeq lists it as uncharacterized. The record is from RefSeq and is a predicted model, not a curated record. Lineage: Eukaryota; Metazoa; Chordata; Actinopteri; Salmoniformes; Salmonidae. The transcript has 4 exons.
UCUAGUCAGGUUUCUCAGAACAUACCCUGUCUCCUGGAUCUAGUCAGGUAUCUCAGAACAUACCCUGUCUCCUGGAUCUAGUCAGGUUUCUCAGAACAUACCCUGUCUCCUGGAUCUAGUCAGGUUUCUCAGAACAUACCCUGUCUCCUGGAUCUAGUCAGGUUUCUCAGAACAUACCCUGUCUCCUGGAUCUAGUCAGGUUUCUCAGAACAUACCCUGUCUCCUGGAUCUAGUCAGGUUUCUCAGAACAUACCCUGUCUCCUGGGUCUAGUCAGGUAUCUCAGAACAUACCCUGUCUCCAGGAUCUAGUCAGGUUUCUCAGAACAUACCCUGUCUCCUGGAUCUAGUCAGGUUUCUCAGAACAUACCCUGUCUCCUGGAUCGAGUCAGGUUUCUCAGAACAUACCCUGUCUCCUGGAUCUAGUCAGGUUUCUCAGAACAUACCCUGUCUCCUGGAUCUAGUCAGGUUUCUCAGAACAUACCCUGUCUCCCGGAUCUAGUCAGGUUU